GGAAUUCGAAACAGCGUACUCCUCCUCCCAGCGCUGCUUCGAUAGGAUUGGCAACACUCCUCCUCCCGGUUGCCAAUUAUUCUCAUGACGCCCGCUGGACCUCCUCCCCCAGCGGGCGUCGUCU
Sinorhizobium fredii GR64 is the source of this 124-nucleotide non-coding RNA. Lineage: Bacteria; Pseudomonadati; Pseudomonadota; Alphaproteobacteria; Hyphomicrobiales; Rhizobiaceae. The record is from Rfam.